GUGAGGAAUUUCCCGCAAUGGGCGAAAGCCUGACGGAGCAAUGCCGCGUGAAGGAUGAAGGCCUAUGGGUUGUAAACUUCUUUUCUCAGAAAAGAAUUAUGACGGUAUCUGAGGAAUAAGCAUCGGCUAACUCUGUGCCAGCAGCCGCGGUAAGACAGAGGAUGCAAGCGUUAUCCGGAAUGAUUGGGCGUAAAGCGUCUGUAGGUUGUUUAAAAAGUAUUCUGUCAAAGAUUAGGGCUUAACCCUAGAUAGGCAGAAUAAACUUUUAAGCUAGAGUUUGGUAGAGGCAGAGGGAAUUCCCGGUGGAGCGGUGAAAUGCGUAGAUAUCGGGAGGAACACCAAAGGCGAAGGCACUCUGCUGGGCCAAUACUAACACUGAGAGACGAAAGCGAGGGGAGCAAAUGGGAUUAGAAACCCUGGUAGUCC
This 426-nucleotide ribosomal RNA is filed under the name uncultured bacterium. RNAcentral's name for it is "bacterial SSU rRNA". It matches the Rfam family "Bacterial small subunit ribosomal RNA", at positions 354 to 796 of the family's 1533-position model. The record is from RNAcentral.